GGAGGCGUGAAUCUCAUCUGCAAGAAGAUGAAUCCACUGUGGUUCUUCCUCUUUCUGCUGUCAGCUCCCAGAGGUGUCCUGUCCCAGGUGCAGCUGCAGGAGUCGGGGCCCAGCCUGGUGAAGCCCUCGCAGACCCUCUCCCUCACCUGCACGGUCUCCGGAUUCUCAAUAACCAGCUAUGCUGCAGGCUGGGUCCGCCAGGCUCCAGGAAAGGGGCUGGAGUGGCUUGGUUCUAUAUUGAGUUUGAUGGAGUAUGAAGAAAGCACAAUCUAUAACCCAGCCCUGAAGUCCCGGCUCAGCAUCACCAGGGACACCUCCAAGAGCCAAGUCUCCAUGUCACUGAGCAGCGUGACCCCCGAGGACACGGCCGUGUAUCACUGUGCAAGAGGCACAGUGAUAUGA
Molecule: non-coding RNA, 402 nt
Organism: Hippopotamus amphibius kiboko
Lineage: Eukaryota; Metazoa; Chordata; Mammalia; Artiodactyla; Hippopotamidae
Source: the annotation of a RefSeq genome assembly